Small nuclear RNA from Anolis carolinensis (green anole), 148 nucleotides. Its record names the gene U4. It matches the Rfam family "U4 spliceosomal RNA". Rfam says of the family: U4 small nuclear RNA (U4 snRNA) is a component of the major U2-dependent spliceosome. The record is from Ensembl. NCBI's taxonomy places the organism in Eukaryota, Metazoa, Chordata, Lepidosauria, Squamata, Anolidae.
AAGACAAGACAGUGGCAGCAUUGUAGCCAAUGACGUUAAUCUGAGGCAUGAUUAAUGGUAAUUUAAAACUUUUCUCAAUAUUCUGCCUUAAUGACUUGAAACAUAGUAGGCAUUGGUAAUUUUUGGUUGUGUAUUUUAUUGGACUAUA